This 254-nucleotide ribosomal RNA is filed under the name uncultured bacterium. RNAcentral's name for it is "partial 16S ribosomal RNA". It matches the Rfam family "Bacterial small subunit ribosomal RNA", at positions 524 to 776 of the family's 1533-position model. The record is from RNAcentral.
UACGAAAGGGGCUAGCGUUGUUCGGAAUUACUGGGCGUAAAGCGCGCGCAGGCGGUUCUUCAAGUCAGAGGUGAAAGCCCAGAGCUCAACUCUGGAAUGGCCUUUGAGACUAGAGAACUUGGGUACGGGAGAGGUGAGUGGAAUUCCGAGUGUAGAGGUGAAAUUCGUAGAUAUUCGGAAGAACACCAGUGGCGAAGGCGGCUCACUGGCCCGUUACCGACGCUCAGGCGCGACAGCGUGGGGAGGCAAACAGG